Tupaia belangeri chinensis (Chinese tree shrew) is the source of this 2493-nucleotide long non-coding RNA. RefSeq lists it as uncharacterized. The record is from RefSeq and is a predicted model, not a curated record. The transcript is spliced from 4 exons. Lineage: Eukaryota; Metazoa; Chordata; Mammalia; Scandentia; Tupaiidae.
UUGGAUUAGAUUUGCUAUAAUUUGGGGUAGAAACGACCUUUUGCAGUCUCCCCAUCCAGCAAUAUGGCUGACCUCCCGUUUGCUUUCAGGAUCAUGGCUUCGGGUAAAGGUUUGCGCAGUCCUUCACGCUGGGUGUGAACUCGGUCGUGGGAAUUCUGUAUUUGCAGCUGUGGUGGCGAAGGGAUAUUUUUGUGACCAGCCUUCUUCCUGGGGACUCCUUUGCAGGCGAGCCCCUCUUCGUGCAGUGGAAGUAGCUGCACAGAACAGGCACCCUAAGGGACCGCGAACUUGCGGUGGGGGCUGACAGCGGGAGGCCACUACAGUCCAGGGCGCCCCGCAUUGCCACGCUCUGGGCGAUGCGCCGCGAUUAACCGCGUUCCAGUGGCGCCCCUUGUGGCCGUUUCCAGGGCCGCGCUUCUGCUACAAUAUUUUCAACUCCGCUUCUCCAGCACCUCCUCCGUUUUCCUUUUCUGCUAGACGUUUGAGUCACCUCCUGGGAAGGAGGGCAAACGAUGUUCAGUAUUUUAGGCUCAGACGAAUACAAUUUGGAACGCGAUGAUGAAAAAGUCACUUUAGAGCCGGCUCCACUCUCAGGAGCGCGUCAGUUUCUGUUCAUUCAACACCGAUUGAUGGAGCAUGCCUCGUGGCCAGAUGAGGGUGUCAUGGCCAGGCAGAGACAGACGGCCCUCCGACUCUCUCAGCCAUGUUCCAGUGAAAGGAGACAAGGAUAAACCAACCAAUGCGAUCAUUUCCAAGAGCGUUAAGUGCUUUGAAGAAAACAACACAGUGAUUUUGUAGUAAUGGGGAGAGGGAUGGGGCUGACCGCAUUAGCUGGUCAGGGCAGGCUUCUCAGCGGAGGUACCAGCCAUGUCCUCUCUCCAGUGUUCUUAAGCACAGGGCGGGUGCUGAACCCCAAGGUACGAGGGAAGUUCAGAUCCUUGAGGGAGGGGGGCGAUUUGUACAUCAGCAAGUUGUGCGUCUCUAGGAAGGUGGCUUGUGGUAGUGUCGGCUGCCAAAGCUCCCAAGUUGCGAGGUGUUGGGACCGGGAUUUGAACCCUCAGCAGCCCAUCUGCAGCGUCUGCACUCUUCACCAUUGGCGUCUUACAUCAUCUCUCUGUGGCGCUCUGGCCUCAACUUCCUCUCCUACUAGACCACCGUCCUUGCCGUCAUGACCGGGUGACUCAGGGGUCUCUUACAGCUCCUGGAUGGAAACAGUUGCUGGCGCACUUGGCUGUCCUCGAGGGGAAGGUGGAAUGUCUCGGCCCUCACUUGGUGAUGUUCAUCUCAGCGCAGGGACGCUCGUGACGUUCUUAUCUUUCUUCCUGUCUGCCUGUGGAACCCCAUGAAAAUGACCUCUUCCUUCUCAUCUUCAUAAACCCAGCGGUUGUGAUGUCUGCCUCCUAAAACCGUCCAGCAGCCGCUAACGACAGCUUAAGGGCACAGGGUCCUCAGGGCCCCUCUGCAGAGCCCAGCGUCCAGUGGAAGCUGCAUAGAACCCAGUCCCGUUACCAUGUGUUCGUUCUCCCACGGGACACAGCUGGCUUGGCUGACGGUCCCUGCAUCUUGGGAAUCUUCCUGACGGCAGUUUGGCUUGUGCUCUCUGGGGGUCCAGCGUGGUUGGAUUCUCCAUCUGCUUUGGAAAUAUCGUCCCCUGCUGUUAAAGGGUGUUCCCAGUGGGGCCGUGCCAAGAAGGCACCAAGAUGCCAGGACCAGUCACCUCCUGCCCAGCCAUGCUUCGAGCCUGCCUGCUGUCCCCGUGGGGUCUCCAUGCCCCAGGUGUUGGUCUGUGAGGGGACUGACUCAGCUAGGUGGGCUCCACGAUGGAUCCAUCCAUGCCACUCUGCAGGGCUGACCCGGUCUCAGACCCAGGAAUUGGAGAGGAGCCACGGGGCUCUCAGGCACGGUGUCCACCCACGCUGGGACGCCACCCCAGCCAGCAGUUGGCUCUUAUAGAGGCUCCUGCUAUGUUCUCUGGGGCUCACCGCCAUCUCUAGCCGUCAGUUCCUCUCUGUACUGCACCCCCACAGGUGGUGCUCCCAGGAAGGCACGUCCUGGCUAUCCCUCUGCCUGCAUAGGUGCAGGGGGCCGAGGUCCCUGCUGCAUCUCAGCCUGGAAGCUUUCUGCAGCCAGAUCCCAAGCCACCCCCAGCAGCCCCCAGCCGGCCUAGUCCCUAUCUAGGGCCCUCAAAAACUCUGACAACAGGGCGUGGGUCCUUCCCGCUGGAGCCUGGCCGUCCUUGGGGUUCUGCAGCUGAGCCAGCACAGCUCCGUGGGCUGUUGCAAGCUGUGCUCUGAGGGCCAGGUCUGUGACCCCUAGAGCGAGCUCCUAGUCUGCUCUGUGAAGGCCGGGGCUCCCAUGGUGUGACGUGGGUGGUGUUCACUCAGUCAUAGAUGUGGUGGAGGGUGUCACGUGCUGAAUUGGAGGCCCUCCUUCCCCAGGACACCUUCUGCCAUUUGCUGGAAAACUGUCAAAUCACAUAGACUCAUCUGGAAA